AGGAUUACAGGCGUGAGCCACCGUGCCCGGCCCCGUCUUAAACUCUUAAAAAAAAAUUUAUCGCUCUACCAGGCAGCCUGACCCUGACCUAAAGUAAAUUCCCAGAAAUUUUUCCUGGGUUUUGAAUUUGCAAUAACAGGUGUGAGCAGUUUAGCAGCAGUUUGAUGAUCACGUAUGAUACUGCAAACAGGA
This is a non-coding RNA of Lemur catta (Ring-tailed lemur), 192 nucleotides long. RefSeq annotates it as small Cajal body-specific RNA 16. The transcript has a single exon. The record is from RefSeq and is a predicted model, not a curated record. NCBI's taxonomy places the organism in Eukaryota, Metazoa, Chordata, Mammalia, Primates, Lemuridae.